GAUUUCUGGUUUGAUGCGUUUGGCCCUCUCGGAGCAAUCCGGCGUGCGUGCCGAUGCGCGUCUGCCAUCCCUUGCAGAGAACGUUUCUACCCUUCACUGGGCCGGAUUCGCAAUCUGCAUCUUUUACUUUGAAAAAAUUAGAGUGUUUAAAGCAGGCUUGUGCUAUGAAUACAUUAGCAUGGAAUAAUAAUUUAGGACUUCGGUCCUAUUUUGUUGGUUUCUAGGACAGAAGUAAUGAUUGAUAGGGACAGUUGGGGGUGCUAGUAUUCCGCGGCCAGAGGUGAAAUUCUUGGAUUCGCGGAAGACUAACUACUGCGAAAGCAUU
RNAcentral lists this ribosomal RNA (325 nucleotides) under uncultured Thaumatomonas. RNAcentral describes it as "SSU rRNA". The stretch from base 106 to 325 matches the Rfam family "Eukaryotic small subunit ribosomal RNA", at positions 734 to 955 of the family's 1831-position model. The record is from RNAcentral. Lineage: Eukaryota; Cercozoa; Imbricatea; Thaumatomonadida; Thaumatomastigidae.